Salvia miltiorrhiza (redroot sage) is the source of this 3666-nucleotide long non-coding RNA. RefSeq lists it as uncharacterized. Lineage: Eukaryota; Viridiplantae; Streptophyta; Magnoliopsida; Lamiales; Lamiaceae. The transcript has 2 exons. The record is from RefSeq and is a predicted model, not a curated record.
GUUAUAGAAUAUUUAAUUUUUGAAUAUGUUAAUUAUACAAUAUUUGCUAAGUAAUGUUUCUUUUGUAGUUUUACAUCAUUUAAAAACAAUGUUUCAGUAAAAUUGACUUGUGACUAAGUGGGAUGGGAAGUGAAGGAAAUUUGUGGGCACGGCAGGGGCCUGGGGAGAUGGGGAAACGUCAGGAAGAUAAAUUUGUGUGGUUCUUUUUUGUGGAGUGGUGGGGUAGGUUUGGGUUAAUUUUUAUUUUGUUGUUAGGUUUCUUAUUUAAAUUCUUUUCAAUUAUACCUUUUAAAUUUUAUUUAUUUAUUUAUAUUUUCAUCAAAAGUAAAGAAUAUUUACGUAAAAAAAAUAUAUUUAAUAUAAUUUAAUUUAUGUAGCCAACAUUAAUCUUUUAUUAAAUAAUAUGAUUAUUUAGAGAUAUUGACAUUAUCAUCAAUAUAUAAUACGAUUAACGAUUCCUGGCCUCUCCUUAAUUCACUCUCCUACGUGGCAUAUCUAAGAAUUCAAGAAUCAAAAUCGCUAUAAUUUUAGAGCCUCUAGCUCAAUUUUCUAUAGCUGACGUGGCAAUAUAAUUCCACAUCAAUUAUUAUUAUUAUUUUAUAUAUAUUAAUUAAGUUAAACAUUGUAAAAUCAUAUUGUCUUCUCUUCCUUUCUCUGCGUCGACCACCACCUUCAUUUCCCUCUCCGCGACGAUUCGACCCACCGGCCGAUGCCACCUCCAUUUUCCCCUCCCUCUGCCGGCGAUUCGACUCACCGGCCGCAGCCGCGAUCUGCCACCUUUCGCCGCCCGCUAGAGAUCUGCUCUUCCACCUUCUCCGAUGCCACCUCCUUUUUCCCCUCCCUCCCCGGGCGAUUCGACUCAUCGGCCGCAUUCCACCGCGAUUCGCAGCGAUGAGAUAUGUCCCUUCCACAAUUCCACCUUCUGAUUCGAGGUCCGGCGAAGGGAGCCUCUUUGCGAUUUCCGGCGCGAAUCGCCGCGCCCCUAGAUCCCCAAAUCCUCACCGUCUCUUUGCGAUUUUCGGCGACCACGGCAGCCAUGGCCGCCGAUCUGCCCCUCCCACCACCAGAAAACCAGAAAUCGAUCUGCCACCUCCCUUCCCCCUAUGAUUUUUGGUUCUAGGUGCCUGGUCCAGAACCGCCGCUCGCCAGCCGCUGUGUUGCAGUCGCCUACUCCUAUUCUCACUUCAACUGUAAGUUCUCCGAAUUCUCACCCUCAUUUUCAGUUAUGUCAACAGAUUGUUUUCUGGUGUUUCCACUUCAUAUUCCCUUUUCUUUAUGUUACCGAGUUGGAUGGGUUCAAAUCCUUUAUUGGCUCUACUGUUAUAGCUACUGAAUUUAUCGAUAUUUCUGUUGGAGAUUAACUAAUUAGGUGCAUCAGUAAAUGGGCAUCUGUAUGGUGUAAGCUAAAAACUUUCGUUGCAUUAAUCACCACAAUUUUAAUCUAAUCCCUUAUUGUUGCAUUUGUGUUUUGAUCAUAAUUUAUGAAAUGACGGUGUAAGUUUGAAUCUCUUGAGGAUUACCAAGUGAUGGAAUGAAUGUGUUUCAUCCCCACCCUUUUUUUUUCUAAUUAAUCUUAUCUUUUGGACUUUUGGUUGCUUACCUCAAUUCAAGAUGUGGGAAUGUUUCAUAUUCAUAUGCUUUUAUUUGCAAUUCUGAGUUAAUUUACAGCCAACUGAAAGAAGUGGACUUCAUGGUCUAUAUUUGUGUUGUAGAAACUUUUAUACCAUAAAUUAAUGAGUCCGGUUACAGGCUUUUUGAAAUGUUAGUAUAAUUUUUCUUUAAAGCAAUUAGUGGUAUGACUUAUGGAGUUCGAUUAUGUUUGGAUAGCUCUUAGGCCUUUUGACUGAUUGUUCUGCUCUCUCAGCCAUGGCUUCUGUUAUCGACAUUCUCUCGGUAAUGACCUCUCCUUCCAGUUCGUAGAAGAAGCACAUUUUACUUUGUUGCAGACUACAAAUGUUUUCUUUUUUUGUUUUCCUUUUUAUUUCUUCUAUUUUUGGUGGUGCUACUGAUCGAUUUCAGAUGAUGUGGUUUGUACUACUCCUUCCUUACCAGAAUAAACUAACAUAUAAACCCAGUUUUGGAUUAAUGGUGCAUGACUUUCUUUUCUUUGUAUGUGACCUUUUAAUUGUGAAUUUUAGUUAUUUAACUUAACUAACCUAUCUUUAAUGUUUCUAAGUUUCUAAUUUUUAAUUAUUUAUAAUUAUGACUUUAAGCAGUAAGUUCACAAUAUUUAAAAUUUUGUUAACUGUGUAUAUGGAGUUCUCAUCAUUUUUCGUAUAAAAAAUGUCUCGACCCAUUCAAAUGCACAACGAGAGGCAUCUCUGCCAAAUAAGAUAUAAGACCACUUCUUUUCAUCUCAAAUUAUAUCUUCAGUCCAACAUUUCAGUUUUUUUUUUCUUCGAUCUACAAACAUAGAGUUUCACCAUAUAUUGUGUUGAAAACCAUACUCUUAUCUUGCAAGUUUAUGACACGGGUGUUUCAGUCAUGGGUGGGUGUUUCAGAUCAUGUUUUAACUGACACGGGUAACGGGCUACACAUUUUGCUAUAAAUAUUGCUUCUUAGCCAUUGUUUUAUGAUAUAAAUACUUGUCUAAAUGGUUUACAUGUCUUUUGCUUGGAUAAUUAUUCAUCUUAUAUUUGUUUUUGUUAUUUUUAAGUUAUUUAAAAAGAUUUGUGGCUUAAAAAGUACUUUUUUAUAUUCAUGUAGUUGGAUUAUUAGCUCAGUUUUUGCUAUUGCUCAAAUUUCUGCCCGUUGUGGAGAUAUGCUUGAAUAUUAUUGAUCUAAUUAGUUGUUUUAUUAUUUGAAGCUGGAUUGAGAUGCUUCAUUUUCAUUUUUUUUUUUGGCUUGUGUGUGAGUUGAUGAUACUUGAAACUGAAUGAGAGUGAUAUCCUUAUCACCUGCUCGCUAAGCAACUAUUGUGUAUAUCAUUCUAAGCAAACCAAGUUGUGUACUUGUGUCAGUGCUUGACUUUUGAGUUUAAGAUUUUUCAAUGAAUAUUUUAUUGCUUUUUUUUCUUACUUUUAGAGGAAACAAAUUGAAUAUGCUGCUCAAAAUCACUGCCAUCUAAAACUGCAAACCUUAGUUAUUUAUAUAUGUAUAUUAUAUGUAGAUUUGUUUGUGAGUAUGUAUAUUUGCAUGCUACACUGCACUCUGUUGACAAUCAGGCAUCAACCCCAACAUGUUUACUAUGCUUAAGAUAGGACUGAAGCAAGAGAAAUUCGAGCUCAGGCUUCUGAACACAGAGAAAACAACUCUUUUGAAGACUUUCCCAAAGAUAUUAAAAGGAAGAUAAUUGCUUCAUACCGUGAGCUAGAGCCUAGAAGAAGCCGAGUUAAAGAGCUAGAGAAGAUAUACAUGGAUAUGGCAAUGCAGAAAGAACUACAAGAAAAGGGUUGAAAACGAAAGCUUCUUGAAGAUGAAAUUGUUUAUCCAACGGCAGUACCUGUAUUCAAAUGGACAGGAAAGAAAACGCUGAGGGAGAGAGAGGGAGAGGGAGGGAGGUGUGCAGCUCAAAUUAAUGUGCUAAUUCAAGAACAUAUUCUCUCCUUUAUUAGCCAGAUCUCUAAAAUUUGGAGCGUGAAUUCAGACAUACAUAAAUUGAUUUUUGUAUCCGUGUGUUUUGUUAUUCUUCUAAUGCUUACACAAAAAAAAAUUAUUGAAUUAAAA